GAUGAACGCUAGCGAUAGGCUUAACACAUGCAAGUCGAGGGGCAGCGAGGGUAGCAAUCCCUGUCGGCGACCGGCGCACGGGUGAGUAACGCGUAUGUAACCUGCCCGCAACAGGGGGAUAACCCGGCGAAAGUCGGACUAAUACCGCAUAAAACAGGGGUCCCGCAUGGGAAUAUUUGUUAAAGAUUUAUCGGUUGCGGAUGGGCAUGCGUACCAUUAGGUAGUUGGUGAGGUAACGGCUCACCAAGCCUUCGAUGGUUAGGGGUUCUGAGAGGAAGGUCCCCCACACUGGUACUGAGACACGGACCAGACUCCUACGGGAGGCAGCAGUGAGGAAGAUUGGUCAAUGGGCGAGAGCCUGAACCAGCCAAGUCGCGUGAAGGAUGACUGCCCUAUGGGUUGUAAACUUCUUUUACAAGGGAAUAAGAUGAGAUACGUGUAUUUUAUUGCAUGUACCUUGGGAAUAAGCAUCGGCUAACUCCGUG
Molecule: ribosomal RNA, 485 nt
Filed under: uncultured bacterium
Lineage: Bacteria
Description: partial 16S ribosomal RNA
Rfam family: Bacterial small subunit ribosomal RNA
Source: RNAcentral